GUAUGUAUUCAUAUAUUCUUAUUUUUCAUUUUAUUAUUAAGUAAAAGAUAAUUAAAGUGAAAAUAAAAACCUUGGAGUUUUUGGUGAAUCUUGAGGUCUGACAUCCAUCUGAGAGCGGUGUGGGUAAGGGCCCUCAGCUGUUGCCUUAUAUUAUCAUUGGAAGAUUACCACAGAUUGUAUAGAGGAGUGAAAUGAGGAAUUUGGUGAUAAACAUAUCAGGGUAGCGUAUUUCUUUCAGAAUUCUAGUAAAAAUGUUAAAUUCACCUUAUCUGUCUGUCUCUGUUUUCACCCUUGAACUGUUCUGUCUCUUAACCACCUGGUGUUCCUGGGAACGUUCAAAACAGACAAACACAAAAACAUGGUGUGCCCACUGUUUGCUUCUGUAACAAAGAACGGUAAGAAAAUAUCUCAGGGGGAAAAUAGGUUUUUCUUUCUCAACAAUGGUUAAUGAUUCAUUAGCAAACAUUUGCUGCCAUCACCUUACAAGCAGUAGGACUACGUGAAGAAAUAAUCUCGUGAAGGUAAUUGAAAACUUUUUUUCUGUUUCCCAGUUCUUCUCUAAGAAGUGAAUUUCCUAAGCAGUUCUGUAUCCUUCCUGAUUUAUCUGGAGAGGGAGUUUCCUAACCAGUUUUAGGUCCUUGUUGGUUGAUAUUGAGAGCUAGAAGAGCUAGGAGAACUUGGGUUUUGAACUGCCCAGUGUCGGGAAGGGCAAUUAUGCAAAUACGGAAUGAGCCAAAUAUUAGGAGAGCUUAACUGCCCAUGGUCCCAUACCUACAGAUAGUCUGCAAUCCUGUUCAAGAGAAUUUUGUGGUUGCAAAUACUUGGUUUUAGGAUACGAUUGAAGGAGCAAAAUGAUACCUAGAUAGUCUUUGGAAAUAAAGGAAUCUAGCCCAUUCUUUAAAAAUGAAUAAUUUAUAGAUUUAUAUUUUGGAAAUUAAUAAGGAUAUGUAGAAUGCUUUUUAAAAGACAGCCUUAUUAUUUUUCAAAAAUUGACAUUUCAAACAUUGGCGUUGCCCAAAGACAUUGAAUAUCGUUUACCCAUCCAAGAGAACAGCACUGUAAAUCUUUGCUGAAAAUGCGCUUUUUUCUAAAGGAAAUUUCUGAAGUCUCAGGGAAUAUCUGCAUCCUCAUAAUUCCCAUAUAAUAAAUAGGAGUGAAGGUGAGAUAUUAAGUGUGUUUACACCAGCCCAUUAUGGCCUUUUACAAAGCCAUCCCCCCAUUUCCAGUAGAUAUAAUUACUUAAAUGGGCCUCCUACCUCACCGAAAGUAAAAUUCAUAUUCAGGUAAUGACAUAGGAGCCUAAAUGUAUAGUUGAUCUGCAGUUGAGUGAGAAAGCAAUAUACCAGAACACAACUUCAGCUUGAAUCCCCAACUGUCCUUUAUUUACAUCACAACCUUAGAAACCUGUGUUCAUUGCUUUUGACACUACUUGACCAUAAAGUGGUCUUUAGAAAUAAGAUUUUGCAUACUGUUUCUAGCUGUUUUUGUGUACAAAUCAUGUUACUCAUUCACAUAUUUCUUGGAGCUCCUACUAUGUGCUAAGCACUACUGAAGUUCAGGUUAUACAAGGGUAAACAAAAGCAGCCAUGUAAAUUGCAAAAGGUCUUCCUAAAGUAGUAGUAGCCAUACAGCGUGUGUCUAGUUAAGGGCUCAAGGAGUAAAUAUGUGCUACGUAUUUCCCAAGACAUAAUGGAAAUUUAAGUGUAAAUGAAUUACAGAGGUGAAGCAUUUGAGGCACUGAGCGAAACAGUGGCGAGACCUGAAGAAAGAAAAGAAAGGCAUUGCCCCUAGGUGAAAUAACAGUGUGGAAGUGAAGAGCCAUGUUAAUAAAAUUUACAUUUUCUGAAAACAAUCAUUGGAAGAUGUAGAAUUCUUAAUAGAAACGUCAAGAAAUUUCUUAGUAACAUCUUAGUUGAAGAGAGAAUCCCUUUCAAUUAAUUCUGGUCAGUGCAUCAGGAAAGAUGCUAUCUGUUAUUCUCAGCUAACCCUUUCUAAUAACAAUUAGGUAAAUAAUGCAGCCUUCCUGUCACUGAUGUUAAAACACAAAGGAAGCUAAAGGGAAUUAAAACUAAAUCUUGAUUUUCGUCUUGUAGUCUGGUGAGAAGGAAAUGUAUCCCUUUAUUUUAUAUUGUUAAAAAUGUUGUAUCCGUGCUUUUUCUCCAAAGUGGAUAAAAUUAGUGUUUUAAAGUUUUUUAUUAUAAUAUUGUAGAACUGGCUUUCCCCUCCCCACCCCCAUCUCUAAGUCACAGAACUUGAGUUAUAAGAAACUUCAGCAGGAUUCUAGACCUAAAAUUUUUAGCGGCCCAAAUUCCCAGUUCUUACUUUGAGACUGUCUGGUGUUUAAAAAAAAAAAAAUUUUUAAAGGAUAAAUCAUUGUGUUUUGUUAGUGCUUAUUCUUGAAAUUUCCUUACCAUUUAUCUUUAACCUGAAUUGCUGGAUUUGCAACUCAAAUUCUGUAUGCCAAAAUAAUCCAGAUUCACCUUUCGGUCAAGAAGGUAUUUGGUGUAUUCCACUGUGAAAUGUCUCAGCUUUGUCCAAGAAGCAGGAGGGUGGGUAUCCUAUAUUUUCACAGUAUUUGGUGACCUUAAACAAAAGAUUUGGUUUCUUUUAUAGAGACUUUAUAAACUAAAGAAUUUCUAUACCUCCAUGGAGCUUUCAGUCUUAACCUAUAAAGGGCAUCCUUGGAAAGACUUCCUUAAACUGGGAGGAGGGACUGCGCCUUGAAUGGAGAGCCAGAGACGAUCAGCUGGGCAGAUGGGCUGUGACCACACAGUGGACUCCCCUGAAGAAUAACUUCAAACUCAAUGUCCCUGGUUCUCCAAACUCAAAGAGGCUAAAGGGAAAUAAAAAACCUACUGAUUUCCAUCGUGACCGCAAAACCCAGAGAAUGCCUAGGGGAGAAGAAAGAUAAAUCCAAGAUUGGGUUUAAAAUAGGUUUAAGUAAACUUGGGGUUAUUCUUAACCUUUUUUUCAAAAUGAUUUUUUUUUUUUUUGUUUUUAAGGUUUUGGUUUCACAUAAUGUUACAUUGCCAUGAUUGGAACAUGGCAUUUGAUUCGAGACAUUUUGUAGGCUAAGUAAUGGUUUUCUAUUGAAUCAUCUAGUGGCAACUUUUGCUACUGAUCAGGAUUUAGGUCUAUACACCUGUCUGUUAGAUGACACAGAUGUUGCUCAUAAACACUAUUAAGCCAACUGGAGUCAACAUUGAAUUUUACUAACUUUAAUCAUGGAUCCUCUUUUUAAGUAGUUAAAAUUCAGAUUAGUCCAAUAAGAAAGCAAUGCAUUAAAUGAUAUCAAAAUAUUUGAAGAUACUUUAGAACUGUUUUGCACACAGCCUAUUUCCUUUCUAUGGAAAGUGUGGUACAAAAAAAUGUUACUUUCUUGGGUCAGUUCUUUCUAAGAGUCAGUGUCUGAUGUUUUCAGAUACCUAGAGCUUGGACAUGAUGGAGUUGGACUUUGAACCCCAAGUAAGCAAUUCUCAUUUUAGGAUUUCAGGCAAUAGCAAUUUGAAGACUGGUGACCUCAGCUGAACCUGUAUGUAAUCACCGCAAACUUUAAAUUAAUGAAACUCUUCCAGAGUCUCAUAUUUUGGUGUCCUCUUUGUUGCAUAAGGAGAUAGAUACUGGGCUGGGAAAGACCUGACAAUUUGCUCUUUGAUAAUAAACUACUGAUUGAAGGCCAAGUUCUUACUGAAUUCACAAAAUAUGUAGAAUCCAUGAGUACAUGACAAAUGAAACUCUAGAAAUUAAAAACUUUUAGCCGUAAGUGCUAUGACCUACUUUUUAAAAAAACCCAUCUUAGUUCUGUGAUUGCAUCACACCUUAAGACUUUCACCAGCACCAAGAGAAAUCCGAAUGGAAGAAAUGACCUUCUGUUGGUCUUGUUCACUUUAAAACUUUGUGCACAUAGGCCUUAGCACUUUGACAGAUAAAACUCUGCCUUUUAGCUCCCUCUCACUAUCGUCUUUAUUCCUCUCACUUUUAGACUGUUCCUUUCAUUGGUUGUAUAAAACUACCUUCUUCAGAAUUGAAUGUAUAAUGUUUCUGCACAUGGGCAAAUUGUAUUUUAUCUUAACGACUCAUUUAAGUUGAAUAAAGGCAUACAGUUUUACUUUA
Long non-coding RNA from Lynx canadensis (Canada lynx), 4113 nucleotides. RefSeq lists it as uncharacterized. Lineage: Eukaryota; Metazoa; Chordata; Mammalia; Carnivora; Felidae. The transcript is spliced from 2 exons. The record is from RefSeq and is a predicted model, not a curated record.